UAGUCCACGCUGUAAACGAUGAGUACUAGCUGUUAGGUCUGGUGUAAAAGACUUAGUGGCGCAGCUAACGCGAUAAGUACUCCGCCUGGGGACUACGGCCGCAAGGUUAAAACUCAAAGGAAUUGACGGGGACCCGCACAAGCGGUGGAGCAUGUGGUUUAAUUCGAUGCAACGCGAAGAACCUUACCUGCUCUUGACAUCUAUAGAAGAAUUCAGAGAUGAAUUUGUGCCUUCGGGAACUAUAAGACAGGUGCUGCAUGGCUGUCGUCAGCUCGUGUUGUGAAAUGUUGGGUUAAGUCCCGCAACGAGCGCAACCCUUAUUUUAGUUGCUAUCAUUAAGUUGAGCACUCUAAAGAGACUGCCGCUGAAUAAAGCGGAGGAAGGUGAGGACGACGUCAAGUCAUCAUGGCCCUUAUGAGCAGGGCUACACACGUGCUACAAUGGAUAUUACAGAGAGAUGCAAAGCCGCAAGGUAGAGCGAAACUCAG
Molecule: ribosomal RNA, 488 nt
Filed under: uncultured bacterium
Lineage: Bacteria
Description: bacterial SSU rRNA
Rfam family: Bacterial small subunit ribosomal RNA
Source: RNAcentral